UUUCCAAGGAUGGGGUUUUAUAUGUUAAACUCCGGGCGGGUCAGCUCUCCUACAAAGAAGAUCCAAUGGGAUGGCAAAGUUUGUUGGCUCAGACUGUUGCUAACAGGAACUCUGAAGCCCGGGCUUUCAAGCCAGAAACAAUCUCAGCAUUCACUUCUGAUCCAGCACUUCUGUCAUUUGCUGAAUAUUUCUGCAAGCCAACUGUGAACAUGGGUCAGGUAUAUAUUCUAUGGUUUGCCGAGC
This 243-nucleotide long non-coding RNA is filed under the name Pan troglodytes (chimpanzee). Its description in RNAcentral is "long non-coding RNA NONPTRT010681". The record is from RNAcentral. Lineage: Eukaryota; Metazoa; Chordata; Mammalia; Primates; Hominidae.